CCCGAGUGUUCCCGAGUCCCGAGUCGCGCGCGCCCCGCCGAGGGGAGUGGGGGCGGCACUGCUUGGCACCAGCCCGGGCGGGGUGGGGGGGCUGGCCGGGCGUCGCCGCGGCUUGGGGGCGCGGGAACCGCACCCUGGGUGGACGGGGACCCGCCAGGCGCUGGCAUUGUCCGACCACGGCUUCUGAUUGGCCGGCUGGAAGGGGCUCGGGACCUCUGUCCCGCGUCACAGAGCCAGCACCCGCCCCGGCUCCCGAGCUCUCUCCCCGCGGGGUCCCGGGGACCGUCCCACCCUGACUCCCUGGGCCGCGCGAGGGUUGCCCCCUCUGGGUAGAGCGUCCCGGCUCCGGGAAUUCUUGCCUUCUGGAAAGAGUGGUGUCAUUGAGGAAUUCCCCAGCUGGGCACCGGCUUCCCUUUUACUUCUUGCUAGAGCCUCUGCCCCUUCCAACCUUUUGUUUGCCUCUGCCCUUGGUCUCUCUCCCCCAACGUGUGGAUUCCUGCUCCCCGUACCAGCUGGGCAAAGAUCUCUGAGGGCUGCAUAGACGGCCAGGGGACGACAGCCAGUGGGGCAGGUGCUGCUUUUAUCCCAUCUGGAGAGAUGAGGAAACCUCCCCAAGAGGCCAGACACUUCCAGAGAAGGCCAGCCAAGGAUUCCACCCUCAGCAGGAAAUGAGCAUCAGACGCUGGUUGGGGGUGUUCCUGCCAGCUGCUGUCCCAGUGGCCACCUCCCUGAGGGAUGGGUAGGGGAGAGCAGGCCAGCUCCACCCGGAAGAGAGGGGUGGACAGCAGGCAGAGCAGAGUGGCAUCAGACCCCUCCAGCCUAGCCCGGAAGUCAGGUGUAUCAGCCCCUGGCCAGCAGUAGCGGUCAGCUCCUCACCGGCAGCCCAGGGCUCAGAAGCCCAGGACAAAGUGAGUUGGCCUCCUUUCCCUCUGCUCAGAAAUGACAGCUGGUUGGUUUUUAAAGUUGUGAUGAAGCACGCAUAACGUAAUUUCCCAUUUUGACCAUCUUAAGUAUACAGUUGGGUGGUGUGUACAUUAUUACGCAAUAUUAUUAUUACUUCACCACCAUCCCUCUCCAGAACAUUUUUCACCUUGCAAGAAUGAAAUUCUGUACUUAUUAAACGUUAACUCCCCGUUUCUUCUUCCUCGAGCCCCUGGCAAUCACUGUUCCACUUUCUCUUUGUAAACUGGACUAUUCCAAGCACCUCAUAGAAUUGGAAUCAUAACAGCAUUACUCCUUUUGUAACUGGCUUAUGUCGCUCAGCACGAUGCCCCCAAGGGUCACCCAUGUUGUAGCUGGGUCAGACUCUCCUUCCUUUUUCCAACUGAAUAUUUCAUUGUUUAUGCAACACGGCCUGUCGGUGGACGCUUGGAUUGCUGCUACCCUGUGGCCGUCGUGAGUGAUGCUGCUUUGAACGUGGGUGUGCAAAUACCUGUUUGAGACCCUGCUUUCAACUCUGAGGGUGACACGUGGCUCCAUCCCUCAGGCCUCAGUCUUCCCUCCUGGAAGUGGAGGGGACACACGCUCAGGAGGUUGCCAGGAAAGGCUUACGAGAGACGUGCGUGCAAAGAGCAGCAACGCUCCUCUUGGACUGCCCGCGUCCCCAACCGCCUCCAGCAAGAGGCUUCAUGGAUGCCUGACAUUUCGUUAUUCACGUAUAUUCUUCAGAUGAGCAUCGCUUUUUACAAAUGCCAGUAUCCUGUGAGGAUCCCCUGGUUGCUUCUGGGGAAGGAUAUAGGGGAUGGGAGUAUGGAGACAUCUCACCUUAUAACCUUUUUGUACGUUUACAAUUCUGAGCUAUGUGGGGGCGCCUGGGUGGCUCGCUCAGUUAAGCAUCUGACUCUUGAUUGAAAUCAAGAUCAUAUCUCACAGUUUGUGAGUUCGAGCCCCGCGUCAGGCUUUGUGCGGACAGCACCGAGCCUGCUUGGGGUUCUCUCUCUCCCUCUC
Molecule: long non-coding RNA, 1947 nt
Organism: Acinonyx jubatus (cheetah)
Lineage: Eukaryota; Metazoa; Chordata; Mammalia; Carnivora; Felidae
Exons: 5
Source: RefSeq, a predicted model, not a curated record